RNAcentral lists this long non-coding RNA (696 nucleotides) under Vigna radiata. RNAcentral's name for it is "long non-coding RNA (VRAD_LNC012916)". The record is from RNAcentral. Lineage: Eukaryota; Viridiplantae; Streptophyta; Magnoliopsida; Fabales; Fabaceae.
AAAGAAAUUCAAAUUAUGAUCCAACAAUUUGGGAAAGUCUCCACAAACACCCAUCAGUAGGUGUAAAACUUCUUCAUGCUUGUUUUUUUUUCUUCUUCUUCUUCUUUAUGCUAAACCUUUUCAAGAAGUUGAUCAUGGCAAGCACAUGUUUCCAUUCAUCAAUCAUAGGAGUCUUGAUCUCCAAUUUCUCGAAGAUCUCCUUGAAGUACUUAAACCUGUUUUCCUUCCUGGGAUUUUUCUGUUUAUGAGGAAGGGGUUUUUUACAUGACCUUUUUUUCUUUCCUCUCUUCCUCUUUCUCUUAAUUUUCUCCUUCCUUAACCAUCUCUUUUUCUUUUUCCUUUCUUUCUUUAUUUUCACUUUUUUUUUUCUUUUUUUCUUUUCUUUCACCCAUGGCUUUUCCUUUCUCAUUCUUCUUCUCACUCUCAUUCAACUUUUAUGUUUCUAUUUCCUCUAUCUUUUCCGCAACCACAACUUUUUCUGUUUUUGUUUCCUCUUCAAACAUCUCUAGCUCUUCUUCUUCUCUCUUUUCCUCCUUGACAACCUUAUCAUUUGUAAAGAUAGUGGCUUGCCAUUCUUCUUUAAGGUUAACUUUAGUAUCAACCCUAAUAAUGCCCAGAGACUUCAAAACAUGAGAGUGUUGUUCCUGCAAUAAACGUUCUUUUGCUUCCCCUAACGUUUCUUUUCCCUGAGUGGCU